CAGGGGCAAAAUCAUAAUUUUACUAAAAUCCUGAUUUGAUAGCAUCAUUUGGUAGAACAAAUGAUUUGUAAUCUAUUGGUGAAAAUUUCAUUGUUUUUGGACUUAUAUUUUUGAAGUUAUGAAGGCUUGAAGUGUAUGAGUCGACUCAUGAGUCAACUCAUGGCACUAUGAGCUGAUUGGCACGCAAAAAUUUCCCUUGGCACGCUGGAUUUUUGACUUGGCACGACCUGUGAGUCGACUCAUGAGUCGACCCACAAGGCAUGAGUCGACUCAUGAGUCGACCUCUGCUGAUUUGAGCCAAAAAAUCCAGAAAUCAAACUUGUCUGGCUGUUGCAACAGAAGUCGACUCAUGAGUCGACUCCUGAAGCAUGAGUCGACUCAUGAGUCGACCCCUGCGAUGAAAAAUGUCCGCAACGGCUAGUUUUUUUGCCCGUUUUAAUUACCUUUUAUGCUUCCUAAAAAUGCUCUAACGGCUCUUUUUCUGCCUAAUAUGUUUUCUCUUGUUUCUUAAUGCUAUAAAAUGUUUCAAAAGGUGAAAAUACAGGAUACAAUUGAAAGGAUCCAAAAUAUACACGAGGUGAUCAACGAGAUACUCGAGAGAAAAAGAAAAGAGGAUCCAAAAUCUACACGAGAGAGACAAGUGAUCCACAAUAUACACGAGAGAUUGUGAAAG
This 673-nucleotide long non-coding RNA is filed under the name Elaeis guineensis (African oil palm). RNAcentral's name for it is "long non-coding RNA (EGUI_LNC062032)". The record is from RNAcentral. Lineage: Eukaryota; Viridiplantae; Streptophyta; Magnoliopsida; Arecales; Arecaceae.